AGAUCUCGUGAGAAUUCAGUCACUAUCACAAGAACAGGAAGAGGGAAACCACCCCCAUGAUCUAAUCACCUACCACCAGGCCCCUCCUCCAACACUGGGGAUUACAACUGGACAUGAGAUUUGGGCGGGAACACAAAUCCAAAUCGUAUCACCCCCCCAAUUAGAGACUUGGGAUUUGAAUCAACAAAAAAUCCUGCAGUUCACUUUUUAUGUGGAUAGUACAUUGGAGGCAGAUAAUUUUCCCACUUCUGCCUCCUUGUCAGUUCUUUAUUCCUUUGAAUCAGAAUAUAACAGCGUCCAGUAAUGCAGCUAGCCCAUGUGUGAAAUGAAGCAAGAGUGGCAUAGUACACUCUGAGCUGUUCAGUGAAAAACAGGCAUGGACAGCCACAGGAAGGGUGGGGCUUCAGGCCACAUUAAGUAAAAAGCAGACUUAUGCGGUACCUGCUGAGUUUCAUAAAACUGAAUAUUGUCUUUGGAAACAAGCUUCCUCUCUGUAGCUUCAGUGGAAAUGGUCAUAAAUCAUAUAUAAUUAGGAAGAAAAGUAAUCAAACAUCAUUUGGUGUUGUAGCAAUGUAAUAGAAAAAAUGAAAAUUAAAAAUAACAAUGAAUUAGAGAUUUAUCCUACCUCCUAGAGUCUGAUACUAACAUCACCACUGCUGAUAAAAUCCAGAUCUUCACUGGAACACUGGAAGAGCGUGUCUUUGAGGGCUUAAACUUGGUUCAAAAAAGGUCUUGAAACUAAGACCCACCAAAUUGGGAAGGACCAGAAGGGCAAGGUAAAGUUACUGCCUAUUUUUGUGUAGUAAUGUUUGUUUUGCUUUGUUUUCAAGUGUUUCCUGGGGAAAGGAAAUAAAGAAGCUUGGACAGUUAAGAGAAAAGCAGUUUGCAUUAGUCAAUAAUGGAGGAUAUAAAAAUUGCAGAAUUGGCCUGGUGCAGUGGCUCAUACUUGUAAUCCUAGUACUUUGGGAGAUUGAGGCAGAUGGAUCGUCUGAGGUCAAGAGUACGAGACCAGUCUGGCCAACAUGGUGAAACCCUGUCUCUACUAAAAAUACAAAAAUUAGCUGGGCCUGCUGGCUAACCCAAGUUACAGGAGACUGAGGGAGGAGAAUCGGUUGAACCCAGGAAGUGGAGGUUGCAGUGAGCCGAGAUCAUGCCACUGCACUCCAGCCUGGGCAACAGAGAGAGACUCUGUCUCAAAACAAAAACAAAAACAAAAACAAAAACAAAAACUGCAGAAUUUAGAAAUGGUAUUAAGGAAAUACAUUGUAUGUGGAUUUCCAAAGAAUGGUGUCAGAAGUGUGACAGUGUGGAAGGACAGCUUUGUGGAGGAGGUACAUUCUUAUGUUAUUUUCCUUUCACCUUUUCAUAAAUGAGGCAACAAGAGCUUCUUUAAGUGUAAUCCCCAGACCAGCAGCAUUGGCAUUCUGUGAGAACCUGAUAGAAAUGCAAAUUUCUAGGUCUUCACUCACACCUGUUCAGAGGCCUAGCAAUGUGUAUUACGAGAAGCUAUUCAGGUUACUCUGAUGUACCCUAAAGUUCCAGAACUCCUGAUGCAGAGGGUACAUGAAGAGAUACAUAGUUAGAUAUAUCUUCUAAGUCAGAUACAUCCUCCAAAACCUGGGUGCACUUACUAUGUGACCUUGAAGAGGUACUUAACUUCAAAAGAUAUUGGCAUUCUCCCCUAUAAAUGGAAACAGUAAUAAAUACAUUGUAGGAUGGUUGUCAGAGUUAAAUGAGAUAUUGAAUAGGUAAUAAAAUAUUAGAUGGAACCUUUCCUGUUACCUUGCUAAAUGACCAACAAGUACAUCCACAUUCUAAUGAGAAUCAUUAGAUAUGUCCAAGCAGAAAUUCCCAAAAUGCAACAGAAAUGAUCCAGCAUCCAUCGAGCUUCUAUAGUCUACAAGAGGAGAUCUGAAAUUGCAAGGAUAAUGUUUAAUGGAAUUUUCAGGAGUGGAUUAAGUUGCAGAGAGUGUUAAGAUUUUUUUUUUCCUACUUUCUUUUUAGGAGAUAAAAGUAUGUUUUUCCCUCCCAAUAGGCCAAGAGGGAAUACUCCAAGAAAACUCUUCUGGAGACAAAAAGUCCAUAAAGGAAAGUAAGAUAUGUAAUCACCUGCUAGUUUUAUUGUAGGUCCAUUUGGACACAGCCAUUUAGGUAGAGCAAGGCAAAAUAAUUCUUGUGAGGACCUGUCAUCUGUCCCCAGGAUGAGGGAACAUAGGUUAAUAUUGACUCUGAUGUGUUCCUUUCCACGUCGAGAAUUUUAAAGUCUGCAAAUCUGUAGCCCAAAAUUGAUUCCAGGAAGAGGAGGGAGCAGUUGGGCCUUGAAGAAUGCACAAACGUGCCACACAAGAGAGUCAGUAUGUGGAGGCUGCCAGAGAGGACAUAGCAGCCAGUCAUUCUCAGCUGAGUGAGGACCAUGGGGAGCACCAGCUCAGGGUUAAAAGGUUGCUGUGGUUCAAAUGACGGUGUCCUCUCUAAAAUACAUGUUGAAUAAUCCCUAAUGUACUGAGAGCUGCGGCCUUUGGGAGGUGAUUAAGUCAUGAGGACUCUGCCUUCAUGAAUGGGAUUAGCACCCUAAUAAAAGGGGACAAGUUUGAAGAGAGCACUCUCUUGCUCUUUCAUGCCUUCCACUUGUGAGGACACAGCAUUCUUUCCCUUUGGAGGAUUCAGCAACAAGGCACCAUCUUCGAGACAGAGCAACCCUUACCCAACACAGAACCUGCUGGCACCUUGAUCUUGGACUUCCCAGCUUCCAAAACUAUGAGACUAUUAAUAUAUUUCUAUUGCUUGUAGCUUACCCAACCUGUAGAAUUUUGUUGUAGCAGCACAAAGGGUCAAAACCAUAUGUAAGAAAUUUUAACACCUAUCUGUUCUGAAGAACUAAACCAGAAUAAUAAAUACUUUUCAGAAGGAUUUUGACUCAUAAAAGAGUAUUACAGCAAUUUUUUUCUUCUCAUGUCAGAGAGAAAAAAUUAUUAAUAAGAUUAAAUUCAAUAAGAGUUUAGAAGACUUGAAAAUUAAUGGGAGUUAAUGUUUUAUCUUAGUAUUUUAUUUCUUUGCAUUUGUUCAUAGUUUAAAUUCUUUUGAAAUUAUUUUAAUAAAAAGAUGUAAUGAAUUUUUAAAUAUCUGUAGAAUUGUGUGAUACAGUCUGAAACGUUUAGUGUUAUCUGAAAAAAAAUUCUCAUUCCUGGGUUGACAAAUCUCAGCUGUCACAAUGCACCUGAAGGCAGUCAACCCUUAUGUCAACUGAAGUUACCUGGAAAUGUGGAACAGAGAAUAGAGGAGCUUGGCUCAAGACUAAGGGUAGAAGAUGUUCAAGUUGACUUGAUCACUCUUACCUAGAGUCAACUUUAAUCCAAAGUUCUAUUAAUUCAUUCCUGAAUGAAUUCAAGACUUCCUGUGGGAAUAUUCCCACUGAUUUUUUUCUCACUCUUCACCCAAUCUCAAGAUAAGAUGACUUCUAAAAACUACAUGAGUGUGGCCGGGCGCGGUGGCUCUUGCCUGUAAUCCCAGCACUUUGAGAGGCCAAGGCGGAAAAAUCACGAGGUCAGGAGUUUGAGACCAGCCUGGCCAACAUAGUGAAACCCCGUCUCUACUAAAAAUACAAAAAAUUAGCU
This 3614-nucleotide long non-coding RNA is filed under the name Homo sapiens (human). RNAcentral describes it as "HSALNT0198497". The record is from RNAcentral. Lineage: Eukaryota; Metazoa; Chordata; Mammalia; Primates; Hominidae.